RNAcentral lists this ribosomal RNA (460 nucleotides) under uncultured bacterium. RNAcentral's name for it is "partial 16S ribosomal RNA". It matches the Rfam family "Bacterial small subunit ribosomal RNA", at positions 338 to 795 of the family's 1533-position model. The record is from RNAcentral.
CCUACGGGAGGCAGCAGUGAGGAAUUUUGGUCAAUGGACGAGAGUCUGAACCAGCCAAGUAGCGUGAAGGAUGAAUGCCCUAUGGGUUGUAAACUUCUUUUAUAUGGGAAUAAAAUGUCCCACGGGUGGGAGUUUGUAUGUAUCAUAUGAAUAAGGAUCGGCUAACUCCGUGCCAGCAGCCGCGGUAAUACGGAGGAUCCGAGCGUUAUCCGGAUUUAUUGGGUUUAAAGGGAGCGUAGGUGGAUUGUUAAGUCAGUUGUGAAAGGUUUCGGCUCAACCGUAAAAUUGCAGUUGAAACUGGCAGUCUUGAGUACAGUAGAGGGGGGUGGAACUCGAGGUGUAGCGGUAAAAUGCGUAGAUAUCACGAAGAACUCCAGUUGCGAAGGCAGCUCACUGGACUGCAGCUGACACUGAGGCUCGAAAGUGUGGGUAUCAAAUAGGAUUAGAUACCCGGGUAGUC